Molecule: ribosomal RNA, 253 nt
Filed under: uncultured bacterium
Lineage: Bacteria
Description: partial 16S ribosomal RNA
Rfam family: Bacterial small subunit ribosomal RNA
Source: RNAcentral
UACGAAGGGGGCUAGCGUUGUUCGGAAUUACUGGGCGUAAAGGGCGCGUAGGCGGCCUGUUAAGUCGAACGUGAAAUCCCCGGGCUCAACCCGGGAACUGCGUCCGAAACUGGCAGGCUUGAAUCCGGGAGAGGGAUGUGGAAUUCCAGGUGUAGCGGUGAAAUGCGUAGAUAUCUGGAGGAACAUCGGUGGCGAAGGCGACAUCCUGGACCGGUAUUGACGCUGAGGCGCGAAAGCCAGGGGAGCAAACGGG